CUCUCUCUCUCAAUAUGUAUAUAUGUAUAAUGCCAUGUAUAUUUGCUGUGUCAUAUCUCUUUCUGCUUGUAUUUUGGAAAGUUCAUGUAAUCAGCUGAAAAUUAAUUUAGAUUCCUUCUAAACCACAAGCUAUGGUUUUGGUUUAUUAAAAAGAUUAUUGUUCCAAUAAUAUAUGAUGGUUGCAUGAGCCAAAAAAGACGGGUGGUUGGUUAUAGUUCAUGGCCAUCCAUAUCCAUCAUCACCACAAAACCAUAAGCUUUUUAGUGAUCAAUAAUAUGCUUUUCCUCCGGCCCCUGUGUCUUGGAGAGUUUUAUUACUUGUUUAUAUAUUUUUCCUCUCUUUAACUUGGUACUGGUUUUCUCCUUUUUGUUUCGUCCUCAGAAAAACCAAUCUAGUUUCUUUACAAGAGCAGGACAUAAGUUAGAAGCUGCUAUUUAUCGAUAUUACUGGCAAAGUAGCUCUUGAUUCAUGCUGGUCAACUGGUGGAUUUACCGACUGUUUACUUCAGUAUGGUGCAUUGUUUGUUUAUGGAGUUGAUAUUGGAUAUGGCCAGGUUGCAGAUGAACUUGUAGCAGAGUUUUCUGACCCUAUCAAUGGUGUCACAUCCCCUGAUCAAAUUGACGAGGUGCGCAUUGAAGUGGCUGAUUAUAUACAGAGUUUGAUGUAGGAAUGUGACUGCCAAGAUGUUUUUUUAGUAAGGCUAGCUAGUUUUGGCUUUGAAGCAAAGCUUGGUGUGGAACUUUUGUACAUUGUUGCUCGUAUGUUUCCAAGCUAGCUUUUGUAAGUUUAGGGGUUUAUUUUGUGAAUUAUGUUAAAUCAUGAAUUUGGAAAGAAAAUUAAUGGGAAAGCCCCUUAUUUUGGAUGAUGAGAAAUGCAAUUUUU
Rosa rugosa (rugosa rose) is the source of this 882-nucleotide long non-coding RNA. RefSeq lists it as uncharacterized. The transcript is spliced from 3 exons. The record is from RefSeq and is a predicted model, not a curated record. NCBI's taxonomy places the organism in Eukaryota, Viridiplantae, Streptophyta, Magnoliopsida, Rosales, Rosaceae.